UUCUGGCUCAGGAUGAACGCUAGCUACAGGCUAACACAUGCAAGUCGAGGGGCAGCAUGAAAGUAGCUUGCACUUUGAUGGCGACCGGCGCACGGGUGCGUAACACGUAUCCAAUCUACCCAUGGCUCAGGGAUAGCCUUUCGAAGAAAGAUUAAUACCUGAUGGUUCAUGAGCCCGCAUGGACUUAUGAAUAAAGAUUUAUCGGCGAUGGAUGAGGAUGCGUCCGAUUAGAUAGUAGGCGGGGUAACGGCCCACCUAGUCGACGAUCGGUAGGGGCUCUGAGAGGAGGAUCCCCCACAUUGGAACUGAGACACGGUCCAAACUCCUACGGGAGGCAGCAGUGAGGAAUAUUGGUCAAUGGGCGAGAGCCUGAACCAGCCAAGUAGCCGUGAGGGAUGACUGCCCUAUGGGUUGUAAACCUCUUUUGUUUGGGAAUAAAGUGAGCCACGUGUGGCUUUUUGUAUGUACCUUACGAAUAAGCAUCGGCUAAUUCCGUGCCAGCCGCCGC
Molecule: ribosomal RNA, 508 nt
Filed under: uncultured bacterium
Lineage: Bacteria
Description: bacterial SSU rRNA
Rfam family: Bacterial small subunit ribosomal RNA
Source: RNAcentral